AAAAAAGCAGGGUCCUUUGCUUCUUCUGGAUGGGUGUCCUUUAAACUUGAGGAUAAUUGCUUGCAUUGUUAUUUGGUGAAGUUUUAUAAGAAUUUUAGUUGCAUGAGGUUCAGUAAGUAAUAGAACAUGU
Small nucleolar RNA from Diospyros lotus (date-plum), 130 nucleotides. RefSeq annotates it as small nucleolar RNA snoR74. The transcript has a single exon. The record is from RefSeq and is a predicted model, not a curated record. Lineage: Eukaryota; Viridiplantae; Streptophyta; Magnoliopsida; Ericales; Ebenaceae.